This 5001-nucleotide long non-coding RNA is filed under the name Theobroma cacao (cacao). RNAcentral describes it as "long non-coding RNA (TCAC_LNC002073)". Lineage: Eukaryota; Viridiplantae; Streptophyta; Magnoliopsida; Malvales; Malvaceae. The record is from RNAcentral.
UUCUCGAAUGCAUGUCUUCUGUCUUGAGCAUGCUGUAGAAGUAGACCAGCAACUUCGUCAAAUAGGAGGAGUGCAUGUAUUUCUCCUUUGUCAUCCAGGUACAUUUUGGCAUUCGGUUUUUACCCAAAUGAAUAUUUACACAUAAAUGGGCACUCCUUUUCCUAACCCUUCCACAAAAGAAAAAAAAAACAGGAGAUAUUAUUUGCUGUAGUAAUGCGCAUUGCCUUAUGUUUCUGUUAUCUUAUGCAACUUGUUUUUGGAUGAUACUGCAUGUGAGCAUGUGAGUAAAGAAGUUGAGUAGGUGAGGGUUCCCGUAUUUUAACCUUCCCAUUUCCCACAUUUUUGUGCUUGUGAUUAUUAAUACAUGGAAGGGGAAUGAUGCCCUAAAGGUGAAGUCUGAGGGUAAGGUUUGAUCUCUAUUUUUUAUAAUCAGCUAGUUUAAUACCCUUGCAUUGCUGUGGGGUAAAACUUUUUAUCAAAUAAUUUAAAGAUAUUAUUGGUAUAAUUUGUGUUAUAAAAAGUAUUUUUAAUUAUCAAAGAUGAUUUGUCUUUCUCUUUCUUUUCUUUCUCAAUGAUCAAUGGUUAUUUUUUAACUUUUAAUAAUAUCUUAUGCUAUGUAUACUUUUUUAUUUUUUUUCAUUCAUUUUAUUUCACUUUUAUUUUGUAUCCACCACACUUAUACUUCAAGUUUAUUCUUUCUUCCCUUUUCUUUGUUUUUACUUUUUCUACAUUUUUUCGUUUUCCUUUUGUGGUUUUCUAUGUCCUUUCUCUUCAUUUUUAUUUUUGCAUUUAUAUUUGAAUUAUGAAUUUUCAAAUUAAUACUAUUUAUACACAAUACUGCAAUGCUAUUUAUCAUUUUUAAUGCUCAAUACUAUUCAUACUUUCAAUAAUUUUUUAUUUAUUAUCCUCCUUCCUUUUCUUUUCUUUUCUUUUAUCUAUAUCCUCCUCUCUCUUCAUUUUUUCUAUGUUAUAGUUUUUCUUUAAUUAUAUUGUUGUAAAUAGGUUUUUUAGUUCAAUUAUAUAGUUGUUUUAUUUUCCCUUGUCUCUUAAAUUUUUUAUUCUUUCUAUUUUUUUCUUUUAUACUUUUACUCAGUAUUAUGAUUGUUACUUUUAAUAGUAUUUUGCAAUACUUUUAGUUUUUUACUACACCUUUUUUUUUAUAUUUAUUUCCUUGAACUUUUUAAUUUAUUUUACUUAUAUUUCUAUUUAAUUUUUAAUCUUUUUUCUUUGAACUUUUGUUAUUCUCUCAUGUUGGCUCUUUAUACUUUUUUUUCCCUAUUUUUCUCCUUUUCUUCCCUUUUUUCUCUCUUUUUUUUUCCCUAUUUCCUUUCCUUUUUUUUUAAUUCUCUUUCCCUCCCUCACUGGUGGCAAGGAGCCAGUUCGGUGGCAGAGACCAGAUCUGGCCCCUCCUUGACUCUUCCUCUCUUCCACCCUGAUCUCUCUCUACCCCUUUCUUUCUCUUCAUUUUCCUCUUUGCCCUUGCUUUCUAUCCUCCGGCCUGCCACUGGCCAUCAAGCCCCUAGCUGGCCUCAGUCGGCUCCUUCCCUUCUAGCCCACGUCUGCCUCUUCAUUCUCCUCUCUCUUCCAGCCUUUAUGGCUCCAUCUCCAUCUUUCUCUCUCUUACGAAAAUAGGAAAAAAAAUGACAAACACAAAAUGCCAUACAAAUAGACGGGCAAAAAUGCCCUUAAGAAUUACAAAAUUCCAACCAGGUCACUUGAACUCAAAACUCAUUAUAGAUAAUAUAGAUAAUAGAUGACAGGCAGCAUGCACCAGCCAACUUGUCUAUUAACAUGUUUCUUCUAAUUUCAACAAUUUUUCUUUGUUUCUUUUGGCUGGGAAAAGUAUCCAGUGACCGUCUAUUAUUAUUUGCAUGUUUUGCAUCUUCUAAAAAACUAAUUAAUAGUUCUACCAAAUAACUAUUUUAGGUUCUUUUCUCUCCAGUCAUUAACAUUAUCUGUUGAACAAUGCAGAGUAUCCCAAGAUAGAAGCAGAAGCAAAGUUGGUGACCGAAGAACUAGGAAUUGAUUAUCCCUGGAAUGACAUUUUAUUUGGGGAUGCUACUAAGGAGGAUGAGGAGAGGAUCCAGUCAGCUCUUGAUAGUGAGGAUGCUAUACCUGGGAACGGAGACUGGGCUGUAAAGUUGGGUGUCAACCUAUUUUAUAGUGCCAAUCUCAGCCGCUCUACCCUGUACAGUAAACAGAUGCCAUACAAUUAUGUUAUAUACAGUGCAUUUGGCCGUAACUCUCCUGGUAGCUCACCCACAAAAUUGAAUGUGUAUGGGAGGAGGUCUGGCAAGCAGAAAAAAGUGGUGGCAGGAAAAUGGUGUGGUAAAGUUUGGAUGUCAAAUCAGGUUCAUCCAUUUUUGGCACAAAGGGAUCCUGAGGAACAAGAACAAGAAAGAGGCUUUCAUGCUUGGGCAACUUCAGAUGAAAAUCUUGAGAGAAAACCAGAAAAUGUUCACAAAGCUGAAACAACCAAGGUGGCUAAAAAGUUUAAUAGAAAGAGAAAAAUGAGGCCUGAGAUUGCAUCAAGCAAGAAAGUGAAAUGCAUUGAGACAGAGGGUGCAGUUUCAGAUGAUUCAUUGGAUGGUGGUUCUCUUAGGCAGCAACAGAUUUUUUUUAGAGGCAAGCAGCCUAGACUGAUUCAGAAAGAAGAGGCAAUUUCAUAUGAUUUGCUUGAGGAUGAUUCUCUUCUGCAGCAAAGGAAUCUCUCCAGGAAAAAAUUGGCAAAAUUUAUUGAAAGAGAAGGUGCUGAAUCAGAAGAUGCAGAAGAGGAAUUUACUCAUCAGCAGCAUUGGAGGAAUCUCAGAGGCAAGCAAGGCAAAUAUAUUGAAGAAGAUGAUGCAGUUUCGGGUGAUUCACUUGAUGAAAGUUCUCUUAAGCAGUAUAGGAGGAUUCCUCGAAGUUGGCAGGCCAAAUUUAGGGAGAGAGAAGAUAUUGUAUCAGAGGAUGAACUAGAGGAAAUUUCUCAUCGGCUGCAUAGGAGGAUUCCUAGAUGCAGGCAAAUCAAGUCAUGUGAGAAGAAUGAUGCUAUAUCAGAUGAUUCACGAGCAGAUAAUUCUCUUAAGCAGUAUAGAAGAAUGCCUAAAGGCAGGCAAGCAAACUUUGUUGAGAGAGAUGAUACAAUGUCAGAUGAUGCAUCAGAAGAUGAUUCUCAACAUCAGCUUAGGAGGAUUCCUAAAGGCAAGCAAAUGAAGUGCAUGGAAAGAGAUGAUGCAUUUUCAGAUGAUUCACUUGAGGAUAAUCUUCAACAGCAGCAUAGGAUUCCUAGAAGCAAAGUGGCCAAGUUUACUGAUAGAGAAGAUGUAGUUUCCUUUGAUUCAUUGAAGGGUAGUUCUCAUCAACAGCGUAGGAGGGUUUCUAGAAGCCAGCUAACCAAGUUUAUUGAGAGGGAAGAUGCGGUUUCGUCUGAUUCUCCAGAUGAUAGUUCUCUUCAGCAGCUUAGGAGGAUUCCGAGAAGUAAGCAAACCAAGAUUCUUGAGAGGGAAGAUGCAGUUUCAGAUGAUUCACUGGAUGAUACUUCUCAGCAGCGGCUUAGAAAGACUCCUAGAAGCAGACAAGGGAAAUUUAUUGAGAGGGAAGAUGCAGUUUCAUAUGAUUCGUUGGAUGAGAAUUAUCACCAACCAAAUAGGAGGACUCUUAGAAGCAGAAAGAAGAAAGCCCAGACACCGCGGCAAAUAAAACAAGAAACCCCUCGGAAUGUUAAACAAGGGAAACGUCGGACAACAAAACAAGUAGUCUCUCAGCAAAUAAAACAAGAGACUCCUCGGAAUCGGAACACCAAAAUUGAGCAAAGUGCUAGACAGUGCAAUUCAUAUGGUGAAGAUGAGCUAGAAGGUGGACCCAGCACACGCCUUAGGAAAAGAGUCCGAAAGCCUCUGAAAGAGUCAGAAACAAAACCAAAAGAGAAGAAGCAGGCCAGUAAGAAGAAAGUGAAGAAUGCUUCAAAUGUGAAAACUCUAGCUGGUCACAAUACUUCAAAAGUAAGGGAUGAGGAAGCAGAAUACCAGUGUGACAUGGAAGGAUGCACCAUGAGUUUUGGCUUGAAACAAGAGCUGCUCCUGCACAAAAGAAACAUUUGUCCGGUCAAGGGGUGUGGGAAGAAGUUCUUCUCACACAAGUAUCUGGUGCAGCAUCGCCGAGUUCAUUUGGAUGACCGACCUCUUAAAUGCCCUUGGAAGGGCUGCAAGAUGACAUUCAAGUGGGCAUGGGCCCGAACAGAACACAUUAGGGUUCACACAGGUGCUCGUCCUUACGUGUGUGCAGAAGAAGGCUGUGGGCAGACAUUUCGUUUUGUGUCAGAUUUCAGUCGUCACAAACGAAAGACUGGUCAUUCAGCAAAGAAAGGUAGGGGAUAAUUUGAAGGAAGAAAAGUGUAAUUUAACAUUUCUAAUGAACCUGUUGUUCAAUUGGCAGGGUAGGCUAGGUUCAACGAAAGGAUUAGAAUUUCCCCAUUGUUGUCAUUCAGGAAACUGUUAAUCAUGUUUUGUCCUGGGGUUUCCAUUGUGCCCAUUCAUUUACCGUAAUCAGAGCAAUUGCUUGGAUAUUGAAUCAGAUUCCUGCCUUAGCCCUGCCUACCGUGCUCCCUGUUCAGAUGCUCGUUCAUUGCAAUUUGCACCGCAUUUGGUGGCUCUAUGCCCUCCUACCAAAUAUCAAACUCGUGAGAAACGUGGUGAAGUUUCCUUCCAUACUUUUCCUUGGAAGUUAUCUCCGUCCAAAAUUCACCACCCUGGCCUCGUACCUUCCAUCCAUUCAAAUCAUAAGCCUUAAUUCUGGGCCAACCUAUUAUCCCCACUGUUUUCUUCGAGUCCUCCAAACUCUUCGUAAGUGAGGCUAACGUACAGUUUGGGCCGAGCUUUAAUUUGAAACCCAUUUUCUUUUUUUUUUCGUAAAUAAUGUUUUUAAACUGAACCGUCUGUCUUUGCGUCUUAAAUUUUGGAUAUUGUCCUAAAUAUUCUUUUAUGAUCUUGUAGACAUCCAUUAGUUUUCUUUGACCUAUCC